This 482-nucleotide ribosomal RNA is filed under the name uncultured bacterium. RNAcentral's name for it is "bacterial SSU rRNA". It matches the Rfam family "Bacterial small subunit ribosomal RNA", at positions 28 to 507 of the family's 1533-position model. The record is from RNAcentral.
GACGAACGCUGGCGGCGUGCCUAACACAUGCAAGUCGUGCGAGAAAGCCCCUUCGGGGGUGAGUACAGCGGCGGACGGGUGAGUAACGCGUAGGAAUCUACCCAGUGGUGGGGGACAACAUGUGGAAACGCAUGCUAAUACCGCAUACGCCCUACGGGGGAAAGCGGGGGACCUUCGGGCCUCGCGCCAUUGGAUGAGCCUGCGUUGGAUUAGCUAGUUGGUGGGGUAAAGGCCUACCAAGGCGACGAUCCAUAGCUGGUCUGAGAGGAUGAUCAGCCACACUGGGACUGAGACACGGCCCAGACUCCUACGGGAGGCAGCAGUGGGGAAUAUUGGACAAUGGGGGCAACCCUGAUCCAGCCAUGCCGCGUGUGUGAGAAGGCCCUAGGGUUGUAAAGCACUUUCAAUUGGGAAGAAAAGCUGUUGGCUAAUACCCAACAGCCCUGACAUUACCUUUAGAAGAAGCACCGGCUAACUCCGUG